GUAGUCAUAUGCUUGUCUCAAAGAUUAAGCCAUGCAUGUCUAAGUAUAAGCAAUUAUACCGUGAAACUGCGAAUGGCUCAUUAAAUCAGUUAUCGUUUAUUUGAUAAUACCUUACUACUUGGAUAACUGUGGUAAUUCUAGAGCUAAUACAUGCUGAAAAUCCCGACUUCGGAAGGGAUGUGUUUAUUAGAUAAAAAACCAAUGCCCUUCGGGGCUUUUUGGUGAUUCAUGAUAACUUUACGGAUCGCAUAGCCUUGCGCUGGCGACGGUUCAUUCAAAUUUCUGCCCUAUCAACUUACGAUGGUAGAGUAGUGGUCUACCAUGGUAUCAACGGGUAACGGGGAAU
RNAcentral lists this ribosomal RNA (346 nucleotides) under uncultured Cochliobolus. RNAcentral describes it as "SSU rRNA". It matches the Rfam family "Eukaryotic small subunit ribosomal RNA", at positions 20 to 370 of the family's 1831-position model. The record is from RNAcentral. Lineage: Eukaryota; Fungi; Ascomycota; Dothideomycetes; Pleosporales; Pleosporaceae.